RNAcentral lists this transfer RNA (85 nucleotides) under Felis catus (domestic cat). It matches the Rfam family "tRNA". Rfam says of the family: Transfer RNA (tRNA) molecules are approximately 80 nucleotides in length. Their secondary structure includes four short double-helical elements and three loops (D, anti-codon, and T loops). The record is from Rfam by way of RNAcentral. Lineage: Eukaryota; Metazoa; Chordata; Mammalia; Carnivora; Felidae.
GCCUGGAUGGCUCAGACGGUUAAGCAUCUGACUUCGGCUCAGGUCACGAUCUUGAAGUUCGUGGGUUCGAGCCCUGCGUCGGGCU